RNAcentral lists this small nucleolar RNA (217 nucleotides) under Sus scrofa (pig). Its description in RNAcentral is "ACEA small nucleolar RNA U3 (multiple genes)". It matches the Rfam family "Small nucleolar RNA U3". Rfam says of the family: Small nucleolar RNAs (snoRNAs) are involved in the processing and modification of rRNA in the nucleolus. There are two main classes of snoRNAs: the box C/D class, and the box H/ACA class. Lineage: Eukaryota; Metazoa; Chordata; Mammalia; Artiodactyla; Suidae. The record is from RNAcentral.
AAGACUAUACUUUCAGGGAUCAUUUCUAUAGUCUGUGACUGGAGAAGUUUCUCUGAACGUGUAGAGCACCCGAAACCACGAGGAGGAGACGCAGUGUUCUCUCCUGAGCGUGAAGCCGGCUCUUGGUGCUGCCUGUGCAGCUGCCACUUGCCCUUGAUGAUCGUUCUCCUCUCUCUGGUUGAGAGAGGCAGAGGGAGAGAACACCGUCUGAGUGGUU